Molecule: transfer-messenger RNA, 354 nt
Filed under: Desulfobacterales bacterium
Lineage: Bacteria; Pseudomonadati; Thermodesulfobacteriota; Desulfobacteria; Desulfobacterales
Also listed under: 2 other names
Rfam family: transfer-messenger RNA
About the family: Bacterial tmRNA, also known as 10Sa RNA or SsrA, is named for its dual tRNA and mRNA-like properties. Its role is to liberate the mRNA from a stalled ribosome. To accomplish this part of the tmRNA is used as a reading frame that ends in a translation stop signal.
Source: RNAcentral
GGGGGCGAAACGGGUUCGACGGGGAUAAAGAAGCUUAGGCUGCGUACCGAGGUUCUGUCUGCUCGUUAAACAGGCAGAAAAAAACAAACGCAGACGACUAUGCGUAUGCUUUAGCCGCGUAAGACGGCUAACGUCUUACCGUUCUUUCCUGCGAGGGCGGAUUAGGGCGUCGAUGAGCAGGAUAGCUGACCUGAGAAUCCUUGGAGCUCAGGGAGGCGAAUUUCAUUCAGGGUAGUCCUUCAGUUACCUUGCCCGAAAGGGGCCUGAAGGGCGAAUAUUGAAUUUCGGGCUACGUAUGUAGAUGCUUAAGUGGACUAUUCUCGGACGGGGGUUCGACUCCCCCCGCCUCCACCA